Molecule: unclassified non-coding RNA, 217 nt
Filed under: uncultured Amanita
Lineage: Eukaryota; Fungi; Basidiomycota; Agaricomycetes; Agaricales; Amanitaceae
Description: sequence contains ITS2
Source: RNAcentral
AAUUAUCAAAAUGACCACAAUGCGGAAUUGGAGGUGAUUUUGGACUUGAUGGGAGUUGCAGGACCCCUAUUGUAAAGGGUGACAGCUCUCCUGAAAUGGAUUAGCAGAGCUGGGUUUGAAGCUCUAUUAGUGUGAUAAAGAAAAAUUGAUCACUAGAAAAGGGCGGUACUAAGCUUUGGUGAUGUGUUCUAGCUUGGCUAGAAAAGUGUUCAAUAAA